ACACAAAGCUCUGGAUUCCCCAUGGCAUAGAAAUCUAUUAAAGAGGAUUAUGUGAGGCAGGGGUGUCAAGGACAUCACAAGGGAACCCAUAGAAACAACUAACUUGAGCUCAUAGGAGCUCACAGAGUCUGGACCAACAACCAGGGAGCCUGCAUGGGACCGACCUAGGACCUCUACAUUCCAUGACUUCCAGCCAAUGGAAUAGUACCACUCACUUUUAUGAAAAUUUUGGCUUCGUGAAGCUGUUUAGAUGGAAAAAUGUAGCAACUGUAAUGGCAGCUUGAAACGUUCCGUUCCUAGAGAUACCUGGGAUCUUCACAGAAAUAUUUAGGGAAGAACAAAGAGUAAGGAGAAAAUAUGUAACAACUUUGGUCCCUCCAUCCCUAUUGAAAUGGGCUACUCACUCAUUGGUAAUAAAAAAGGCAAUUUAUGGAGAUUCACAACUUCCCUUUUUUAAGAGCAGAAGACCAAAUCAAGGCGGGAUCAGGGGCCAUUGCAGAAGCAGGGCUGAAAGACUGGAAGAGUCAGAGCACAGCUUAAACUAGAUCUACCUUCCCAAGGUGUGGUCGCUCGGCCACAUGAUUGACUGGCCCAACUGCAUUAACUCUAAUGGGAGGAGACAAUGACAUGUCUCCACCAUGAGGACCAGCAGCCAGGUUGCUUGGUUUCUUCAGUAUACAACAGCAAAUGAAAACAAAGUCUUCCCAAUGGUA
Molecule: non-coding RNA, 713 nt
Organism: Peromyscus maniculatus bairdii (prairie deer mouse)
Lineage: Eukaryota; Metazoa; Chordata; Mammalia; Rodentia; Cricetidae
Source: RefSeq, a predicted model, not a curated record